UUCGCAAUGCCCGAAAGGGUGACGGUGCGACGCCGCGUGGGUGACGAAGGCCUUCGGGUUGUAAAGCCCUGUCGAGGCGGGAAGAACCCCCCAUCGGUGAACAGCCUUUGGGGCUGACGGUACCGCCACAGGAAGCUCCGGCCAACUCCGUGCCAGCAGCCGCGGUAACACGGGGGGAGCAAGCGUUGUUCGGAAUUACUGGGCAUAAAGCGCGCGUAGGUGGCUUGGUAUGUCAAUGGUGAAAUCCUGUGGCUCAACCAUAGAACUGCCGUUGAAACUGCCUUGCUUGAGUUCAGGAGGGGAGAGUGGAAUUCCAAGUGUAGCGGUGAAAUGCGUAGAUAUUUGGAGGAACGCCGGCGGCGAAAGCGACUCUCUGGCCCGAAACUGACGCUGAGUGUGCGAAAGCUAGGGGAGCAAACGGGAUUAGAUACCCCGGUAGUCCUAGCCGUAAACGAUGGGCACUAAGUAGAGGGGUUUU
RNAcentral lists this ribosomal RNA (478 nucleotides) under uncultured bacterium. RNAcentral describes it as "bacterial SSU rRNA". It matches the Rfam family "Bacterial small subunit ribosomal RNA", at positions 365 to 832 of the family's 1533-position model. The record is from RNAcentral.